AACGAACGCUGGCGGCAUGCCUAACACAUGCAAGUCGAACGAUUGCCUACGGGUGAUAGUGGCGCACGGGUGCGUAACGCGGGGGAAUCUGCCCUUAGGUUCGGAUUAACAGCUGGAAACGGCUGCUAAUACCGGAUGAUAUCGCGAGAUCAAAGAUUUAUCGCCUGAGGAUGCGCCCGCGUUGGAUUAGGUAGUUGGUGGGGUAAAGGCCUACCAAGCCGACGAUCCAUAGCUGGUCAGAGAGGAUGAUCAGCCACACUGGGACUGGGACACGGCCCAGACUCCUACGGGAGGCAGCAGUGGCGAAUAUUGGACUAUGGGCGCAAGCCUGAUCCAGCAAUGCCGCGUGAGUGAUGAAGGCCGUAGGGUUGUAAAGCUCUUUUACCCGGGAAGAUAAUGACUGUACCGGGAGAAUAAGCCCCGGCUAACUCCGUG
Molecule: ribosomal RNA, 435 nt
Filed under: uncultured bacterium
Lineage: Bacteria
Description: partial 16S ribosomal RNA
Rfam family: Bacterial small subunit ribosomal RNA
Source: RNAcentral